RNAcentral lists this ribosomal RNA (765 nucleotides) under uncultured Streptococcus sp. RNAcentral's name for it is "bacterial SSU rRNA". It matches the Rfam family "Bacterial small subunit ribosomal RNA", at positions 28 to 776 of the family's 1533-position model. The record is from RNAcentral. Lineage: Bacteria; Bacillati; Bacillota; Bacilli; Lactobacillales; Streptococcaceae.
GAUGAACGCUGGCGGCGUGCCUAAUACAUGCAAGUAGAACGCUGAAGCUUGGUGCUUGCACCGAGCGGAUGAGUUGCGAACGGGUGAGUAACGCGUAGGUAACCUGCCUGGUAGCGGGGGAUAACUAUUGGAAACGAUAGCUAAUACCGCAUAACAGUCGACAUUGCAUGAUGUUGAUUUGAAAGGGGCAAUUGCUCCACUACCAGAUGGACCUGCGUUGUAUUAGCUAGUUGGUGAGGUAACGGCUCACCAAGGCGACGAUACAUAGCCGACCUGAGAGGGUGAUCGGCCACACUGGGACUGAGACACGGCCCAGACUCCUACGGGAGGCAGCAGUAGGGAAUCUUCGGCAAUGGACGGAAGUCUGACCGAGCAACGCCGCGUGAGUGAAGAAGGUUUUCGGAUCGUAAAGCUCUGUUGUAAGAGAAGAACGAGUGUGAGAGUGGAAAGUUCACACUGUGACGGUAACUUACCAGAAAGGGACGGUUAACUACGUGCCAGCAGCCGCGGUAAUACGUAGGUCCCGAGCGUUAUCCGGAUUUAUUGGGCGUAAAGCGAGCGCAGGCGGUUAGAUAAGUCUGAAGUUAAAGGCUGUGGCUUAACCAUAGUACGCUUUGGAAACUGUUUAACUUGAGUGCAGAAGGGGAGAGUGGAAUUCCAUGUGUAGCGGUGAAAUGCGUAGAUAUAUGGAGGAACACCGGUGGCGAAAGCGGCUCUCUGGUCUGUAACUGACGCUGAGGCUCGAAAGCGUGGGGAGCAAACAGG